CAGCGCCACAAGUGGCAAUCGCGUUUAUUGGGCCUAAAGCGUCCGUAGCAGGUUUGGUAAAUCUUUUGUGAGAUCGUUAGGCUUAACCUAACGGAUUGCAGGAGACACUGCCAGACUAGGGACCGGGAGGAGUCAGAAGUAUUCUGGGGGGACCGGUAAAAUGGUAUAAUCCCCAGAGGACUACCGAUGGCGAAGGCAUCUGACCAGAACGGAUCCGACUGUGAGGGACGAAAGCUAGGGGAGCGAACCGGAUUAGAUACCCGCGUAGUCC
Molecule: ribosomal RNA, 271 nt
Filed under: uncultured archaeon
Lineage: Archaea
Description: partial 16S ribosomal RNA
Rfam family: Archaeal small subunit ribosomal RNA
Source: RNAcentral